UGGGGAAUAUUGGACAAUGGGGGCAACCCUGAUCCAGCCAUGCCGCGUGAAUGAUGAAGGCCUUCGGGUUGUAAAGUUCUUUUGACGGGGACGAUGAUGACGGUACCCGUAGAAUAAGCUCCGGCUAACUUCGUGCCAGCAGCCGCGGUAAUACGAAGGGAGCUAGCGUUGUUCGGAUUUACUGGGCGUAAAGGGCGCGUAGGCGGUUUAGUAAGUUGGAUGUGAAAGCCCUGGGCUCAACCCGGGAAUUGCAUUCAAAACUACUUUACUUGAAUUCGGUAGAGGUUGGUAGAAUUCCCAGUGUAGAGGUGAAAUUCGUAGAGAUUGGGAAGAAUACCCGUGGCGAAGGCGGCCAACUGGACCGACAUUGACGCUGAGGCGCGAAAGCGUGGGUAGCAAACAGGAUUAGAUACCCCCGUAGUCC
Molecule: ribosomal RNA, 424 nt
Filed under: uncultured bacterium
Lineage: Bacteria
Description: bacterial SSU rRNA
Rfam family: Bacterial small subunit ribosomal RNA
Source: RNAcentral